This is a long non-coding RNA of Octopus sinensis (East Asian common octopus), 662 nucleotides long. RefSeq lists it as uncharacterized. The record is from RefSeq and is a predicted model, not a curated record. The transcript has 2 exons. Lineage: Eukaryota; Metazoa; Mollusca; Cephalopoda; Octopoda; Octopodidae.
CAUACGUACAUACGUACAUGCAUACAUAUAUACAUACAUACAUGCAUACAUACGUGUAUACAUACAUGUAUACAUACAUAUACACAUACAUACAUACAUUCAUACAUACAUACAUACAUACAUACAAGGGAUGGAAAGGAUGUAUGCUGUUUAAUCAUAUCAGUGAAUUUGACUUCCCUUUCCGACAGAGAAAGAAAACAUUUUCUUCAUUGUGCAAUUUGGUCUCUCAUAUCUAAAGUUCCACUAUUAAACAAAGUAACAGAAAUGAGAAACUAAAUCAGCGAAAAAAAAAAAGGAUCAUGGAAAAGUGCUUUUAAAGCAAUUGAUACAAUGACAAAAAAUAUUGCAAUAAACUGGAACUACUUGUUGCGUAAGUACAAUAUACAUUGUAUAUUCAUCUCUUCUUUGGCAAAUGAAAACUGGAGAAACUCUGCAAAUUAAGACUUAAACUCAAUUUGCUUUGAACGAUGUCUUUCUCAGUAGCUCAGGACAAUCAAAAUGAAUAUAAAUGCUCUUAAAAAAAGAAGUCUUUAUAUCAUGAGGUCAAACAACUCCAUCCCAAACAGUGGUCCUUGUGGACGCAAAUCAAAUCAAGUUGCAGAUAAAAAAAAAAUUUAAGGCUAAAAAUUACAAAGACUGGAUAAAGCGGUUUGUGUUUCUCG